CCUUUGUCAGGACGGCGGCCCUCAGCAGUCGUACGGCAUUUGGGGGAGCUGGCCGACCAUACGUCGGUAUUCGACUGUCGGGACGUCGGGUGAUGAUCCAGAGGCACCGUCGGCUGGUCUGGUGCCUUGCUUAAGUCGGAUGUCGGCUGCCACCCCCGACAGUGAGUCGGUAAUAUGGGUUCGGCCGCUCGGUCGGUCGGU
This 201-nucleotide long non-coding RNA is filed under the name Elaeis guineensis (African oil palm). Its description in RNAcentral is "long non-coding RNA (EGUI_LNC038417)". The record is from RNAcentral. Lineage: Eukaryota; Viridiplantae; Streptophyta; Magnoliopsida; Arecales; Arecaceae.